Molecule: ribosomal RNA, 2264 nt
Filed under: human gut metagenome
Description: bacterial LSU rRNA
Rfam family: Bacterial large subunit ribosomal RNA
Source: RNAcentral
GAAAGUAAGCAAGGGCAGACGGUGGAUGCCUUGGCUCUCGGAGGCGAUGAAGGACGUGAUAAGCUGCGAUAAGCUUGGGGUAGGUGCAAAUAACCUUUGAUCCCAAGAUUUCCGAAUGGGGCAACCCGGCUGGUAGAAGGCCAGUCAUUCCGUAAGGAAGGCGAACGUGGGGAACUGAAACAUCUAAGUACCCAUAGGAGAAGAAAACAAAAGUGAUUCCGCAAGUAGUGGCGAGCGAACGCGGAACAGCCCAAACCGAUGAUGUUUAGGCAUUGUCGGGGUAGUAGGACCACGUUGUGGCAAGAGAUUAAGGAAGUAGAACGUUUUGGAACAAACGGCCGUAGACGGUGAAAGCCCAGUAUACGACUCUUUAACGAAGCCUAGUGGAAUCCUGAGUAGCGCGGAGCACGAGAAAUUCUGUGUGAAUCAGCGGGGCCCAUCCCGUAAGGCUAAAUACUCCCGAGAGACCGAUAGCGAACCAGUACUGUGAAGGAAAGGUGAAAAGCACCUCGAACAGAGGAGUGAAAUAGUCCCUGAAACCGUCUGCCUACAAGCGGUCGGAGCAACGUAAGUUGUGACGGCGUGCCUUUUGCAUAAUGAACCUACGAGUUACUUUCUCCGGCAAGGUUAAGGGCUUCAGGCCCGGAGCCGAAGCGAAAGCGAGUCUUAAUAGGGCGUGAUAGUCGGAGUGAGUAGACGCGAAACCAAGUGAUCUACCCUUGGUCAGGAUGAAGGUUGGGUAACACCAACUGGAGGUCCGAAUGGGUAUACGUUGAAAAGUGUUCCAAUGAACUGAGGGUAGGGGUGAAAGGCUAAUCAAACUUGGAGAUAGCUCGUACUCCCCGAAAUGCAUUUAGGUGCAGCCUUUAUUUAGUAUAGCAUGAGGUAGAGCGACUGAUUGGAUGCGAGGGCUUCACCGCCUAUCAAGUCCAGAUAAACUCCGAAUGCGUGCUAUAUAUUGAUAAGGAGUGAGGGCGCGGGUGCUAAGGUCCGCGUCCGAGAGGAGAAGAAUCCAGACCAUCAGCUAAGGUCCCCAAAUAACAGUUAAGUUGAACUAACGAAGUCGGACUGCAGAGACAGCUAGGAUGUUGGCUUGGAAGCAGCCAUUCAUUUAAAGAGUGCGUAACAGCUCACUAGUCGAGGAGUCCGGCGUGGAUAAUACUCGGGCAUAAACUGUUUACCGAAGCUAUGGAUGUAGAAAUACAUGGUAGGGGAGCAUUCCAACGGCGUCGAAGGUGAAGGAUGACCUUUGCUGGAGCUUUUGGAAACGCAAAUGUAGGUAUAAGUAACGAUAAAGGAGGUGAGAAACCUCCUCGCCGAAAGACUAAGGUUUCCUGAUCAACGCUAAUCGGAUCAGGGUAAGUCGGGACCUAAGGUUAAGCCGAACGGCGAUACCGAUGGAAGAAUGGUUUAAUAUUCCCAUACUACUUUAUGGAGCGAUGUGGAGACGGAGAAGUGAAAGUCCUGCCAUCUGACGGAAUAGGUGGUUGAAGAGUGUAGAUGUAGAUUCCUGUAGGCAAAUCCGCAGGGAGAGUCGACCUUGACAGUAUGCCGCGUGCUUGCACAAGGCAAAAUGGACGUAAUCAGGCUCCCAAGAAAAUCCGCUAAGCAUAUUCAUAAAGUACCCGUACCGUAAACGGACACACGUAGUUGGGUUGAAAAUACUGAGGCGCUCGAGUGAUUCACGGUUAAGGAACUAGGCAAAUUGACCCUGUAACUUCGGGAUAAAGGGUCCCUACUGAGAGGUAGGGCGCAGAGAAUAGGUCCAGGCAACUGUUUAACAAAAACACAUGGCUGUGCGAAAUAGAAAUAUGAAGUAUACAGCCUGACACCUGCCCGGUGCUGGAAGGUUAAGAGGAGAUGUCAUCGCAAGAGAAGCAUUGAAUUGAAGCCCCAGUAAACGGCGGCCGUAACUAUAACGGUCCUAAGGUAGCGAAAUUCCUUGUCGGGUAAGUUCCGACCUGCACGAAUGGUGUAAUGAUCUGGACGCUGUCUCAACCGUGAGCUCAGUGAAAUUGUAGUAUCGGUGAAGAUGCCGAUUACCCGCGAUGGGACGAAAAGACCCCGUGAACCUUUACUAUAGCUUAACAUUGAAUUUGGGUAAUUGAUGUGUAGGAUAGGCCGGAGGCUUCGAAGCAGGUACGCCAGUAUUUGUGGAGCCGCUGUUGAAAUACGGCCCUUUGAUUAUUUGAGUUCUAACCCGUGGAUACGGGGACACUGUUUGGUGGGUAGUUUGACUGGGGUGGUCGCCUCCAAAAGCGUAA